Athalia rosae (coleseed sawfly) is the source of this 4953-nucleotide long non-coding RNA. RefSeq lists it as uncharacterized. The transcript is spliced from 3 exons. NCBI's taxonomy places the organism in Eukaryota, Metazoa, Arthropoda, Insecta, Hymenoptera, Athaliidae. The record is from RefSeq and is a predicted model, not a curated record.
CCUAUAUUCCCGUUUAUCCGUCUUCCGAAACUCCGCAGAUGCGUUGACGGGAUAUCGAGGACGAAAUAAAAUUCGUUACUAACGUUACACCGUCAACCUUUGCACGGUCUGAUAUAAAAUGUUCCCCAACUAUCUUUCGGCUCUUUCCUUCCUUCUCGCUUUCUUUCUCGACGGAGCAGCAAAACUAUCUUACACGACCGAGCUGCCAAUUUCCUCGGAUCUGAAUACGCCGAGCAACAACUUGUUAGUUUUAUUGUUGGUUCAACGUUUAACGGACUCCCACGAUUAUAUAUUUAUCAACCUCCCCUCCCCGUGGUGUGGUUGAAAAUCCGAAUUUUAUCUCAAUUAAAUGUGCCAUUCGGAAAAUGUCACACGCCGGCCAACGGCCUAUUCAAAAUCCUUGACGAGUCGGGGCUCGUACAUCGACAACUGAUCGGUAGCUGAUCUUCGCCUCUCAUUUGACUUGGCGUAAAAAUCCCUAUCCGAUGUGUAUACGAUCUGAAUACAACUGUAGAUAUAUGUAUGUAACAUAUAUAUAUAUAUAUAUAUAUUUCCACAUCGCAUGGAUGCUUUCGCGAGGUAUUCCGAACGGCAUUGCGCAUAUGUAUGCUGCUGGUGCUGCUGGGAGCUGCUGCUGCACCGAUCACUAGGUCAGUAGGACUAGGUCGACGCACGCCCGACACAGUCCUCGUUACGAAGCUGUCAACUCUUUUGUGCACGUGCUUGAAUAUUGGAAUACUGCAGCCCUUCAUCGAAGGGUAGGUCACCCGUAAAAAGCGACGUUGAACCGUUACGAAGGUUUGCGUGACGCGCCGAAAAAAUUUCGUCCCCGCUACCCGCGACGCGCUCAGCGUUCCGUGUAUCUUUACGGAUUGAAGAAAUUAAAAGUUCGAAGCGUGGAGAUCGGAUAUCCGUUAACGCUGACGGGCAGCCGCCGGGCGAAUAAAACCACCGGCCUACUGAAAAAAGAAUGAAAAAUUUUCUAUGCAAUUACGAACAUAGAUUAGCUAGAUAAAAGCUAUAACGUUAUGCCGCGAGAGAUAAGCUAUACGGUGGAAAUUUCAUUCCCCGGCUGAUUCGAAUUUGCAUCUUAAUCCGAAAUCCGUGUAACUAAAAUCCAGAAAAUUGUGUAUUCGUAAAAAGAUGGCCAUUGGUAGACGGGUAAACGGACCGCGAGUACACUAUGUAAUUUCCAUGUAAGCAUAUGUUUGUGUAUCCGUGUACAUUUACAUGCAUCUAUGUAUGUAUACGUACAUAUAUACUUAUUUUACCUCGCGUUUUUAGAAAUUUCUCUUUCGAGACGAGUUUUAGCUGUGGUUAGAUACGUAUAAGACGUACGCGCAUACAUACACAGGUGCCUAUACGUACUUGCACAUCCGCGGGCACGUUCGUACGCGAGGGCAUACGAUCCGUGCACGUGUGCGUUCGUUCGCGUGUAGGUAUAUAGGGGAGCGGAAUGCCGCGGGCGAAGCAGGAAUAUAUUUCAAUCCAUACGCCUCGUCCUCCGCGUCGUCUCGCCCACUCCACUCUUCACCCAAUUCCCUCUGACUUCUUUUUCUGCGUCUUAGAUUGUCCCGGUUUUCCUCGAGUUUUUCUUGAUUGGAUUUUCAUCGUGAGCACUUGCAUAAAACAUCCCUCUUCCAUCUCCUCUUUUUCGCCCCUCAAACUCCGCGCUUAGCUCAUUGCUCCGCACGCGUUGAUUUUAUCGGCAAACUGUUCGAAAAGAGUUUAAAUAUCACGUCGAUCGUAGGAUUCGAUAUCGCGUCCAUGCUCACCUAUCCGAAGAGAGUUAAAACUAUCAGAAAUAGUUGACGUGACGACGCCAUUAUAGCUGUGCCGAUCGUCGAGUUACGUACGUCAAAACCGGAUCGCUUGUGUCUCCGCGAUAUUUGAUCGUAAAAAUCAACCGCUUAUCCAUCACAUCGAUGGGUUUCGGGUAAUCAAUUAUUUUUACAACCGGUGUAUGUAUAAUAUUUGUUUUUUUUUGGGAAAAAUAAAACGAACCCCCAAUCGUAACGGAUACUCUCGCUUAUUACAAUUUCUAUAGCCGAGAGUAUUGUCAUUGAUGCAUGGGCCGGACCUUUCAUAUUCGCCCCUCUGAAGUUAUCGCGAUUCGUGUACCGGAAUUAGGUAUUAAAGUCGAAUGAUUUGAUGGGAUACGAAAGGAAACAGAUAUGUGUGUUUAUUCGAUAAAGUAUCGCGCGAAAUUUACCAAUUUUCGGGUAAUUCUCUCCCUGUUGCCCGAUACCUGGCGUUAUCCCGAUAACUCUCUUCAUCAAUUUAAUGUGGAUACUAUAUAGCAAGUAAUCUCCUGUGUCACGAAUCAUCAAAUCAUCGAUAUUCUAAAACCUUUUGCCUACCAAUUGUUGACAACGGUCGUGUCAUCAUUUGACAAUAUGUUCGCGCGAAAAAUUUAAUUCUUUUCUCUCAUUCUGGUUGAAUACAAGACUCACCAAGCGAAUUCAAAAUUCGUAAGGAUUAUGGUGAUUUUUUCAUUUUUCUGGUUGAAAAAAAAAGGAAAUUUCAGCUUGAUUGUUGGCAUCAAUUUGUGGAUGCAAAAUGUAUAUAUUUGUUUUUCGACGGUCGUCCGAUUCCUACAUUUCCAUUACCUCAUUUGAAAAGGUAAAAAUAAUACAAUAUUAACGGAAUAAAUUAACUUCCGACAAGUUAUCGAGAAAGAUUUGCUGGCAUUGAAAAUUUCAUGAACCCUAACGCUCGUAAAAUGGAGUCCAAAGUACCGGGCAAUCAACAUUCAAUGCAAGAAGCUAAUGGAAUAGAAGAUUAUCACUGGAGAGCUAGUAGCCGCUGAUUGUAAGAAAUAGCGUCACAUUUAGAGAAGAUUUCCUGGAUCAGCUUCAGCAGAUUGUAAGCCUAUUUUUCUAAGGAGGCCUUCUACGUAAAAAUCAAGUGGAGCAUCUUCGAUCAUUACGCCGAUAGUACUGAACGAUAAAAAAAAUUAGUUUCUAACUCGACUCGAUAUUAUAAAAUAUGUGUAUAGAUUAGUAUCUUUUUUCAAGAUUUUCUUUCGCGUGUCAAGGGCAACGAUUCCGAUAGAAAAGGCGUAUCACUUUUCGGAAGAAGCGGAAAUAAUUUUCAAAAUUAAUACCUCGAAGAUUCCACAAGUAAGUUGAGUAAAAGUCUUAUUGCAAUUUCGAGCGAUAUUUGCUUUGGAAAAAAACAAAAAAAAAAAAAAAACAUCUCUUCGAAUUAUUCAACGUUGAAUGUUCUGCCGUUUAUUAUUUUUAAUUCAUAUAGUCUGCGCUGGGCCCGAUCUUGAGGAAAUGAAAACAUGAUUAAAUUUUAAUAACCUUACCCUAAUUACGAUGGAUUUUACCGGGAAGUAAAAUUUAAUAAUUUUUGGUUGACGAUUGUAAAUCAUUUUCGUUUUCUAUCCAACCCCCCGCGGUGACUGCAUAAUUGAACGAACAAAUCUCACUUAAUUUAACUUAAAUAAUUAACCUUUUCAGUUACCUCCUUGUAGAGACAACGAAUUCUUGGCCUUCGUUUCAUCAUAUCCCCGCGACGAUUCUCAAUUUAUAAUUCAUCGUGACGGAAUACACGUUUUCAACACAUUCGUUGAUCUAUAUUUGACCCGAUUGUUGAUGUGUUUACCUAGAUCUUUUAUAUAGCCUGUGAUCCGUUAAAAAAAAUCUAUAAAAAUAAGUUUUAUUAGAACAAAAUCCGAUCCACUAGCCGUCCGAACGCCGUCGACGUACGUCCGCGUAAAUUGAAAGCAGAAUCCGAAGAUUGGCAGAUUUCGGAAAUCAGAAGCACGGUAUAACAUGAUAUCGCCGUAAGGGACGAUUAUCUUAGGCACGUCGUUGCAACGACUGGUGGGGGUACGUUCACGUGUACGGUAGAUAGAUACCCCGAAAAUGGGUCAAUGCAGACCUAUUCGGGUAUAGACGGGAAGGGAGCUCCGCUGUACCUCGCGGGGAUUGUCUCUAUAAUCGUAAAAACUGGAUACCGAACGUGGAAGUGCAACGUCUACUUCCGUCAUUAUCCAAUAUUUCAACGCUUUCCACAAAGAAGGAAAGAGAGGAAAGGUUAUCAAGACCCCUCCGAAUCAUCAUCUUUCAAAUAUUCUUGGUCGUUUAUCAUCAGCUAAACUAAAACAUCACCCUAAUAACCGUCCGAAGUUCGCGAGGUUCUCCUCAUCCCAAAAUCUUCGAUAUCAGAUCGCUAAAUCAGCCCGCACACAAUCAGCCGCUAAUGUAUUACGUCCGAAAAUUGAAUACAUUCUUCGAACGACCUACGACCAGAACGCAACGGUGUUAGCUUUUCCACGUUUCCGAUAGCAAUAACUGACAAAAAAAAAAAACUGAACGAACUAUAAGAGCUUGAAAUCCAUCUCACGGAUUAUAUUCUCAAAUAAUCUUUCGUAAUACUUCAAACAAGUCAAAAUUCCUUCGCGAAAAGCACAAGUUUUCACAAGGGCAAGGUGUUACCUAGUUACCGAAUACCAAUCACAGUCGAUAAACUCUGCACAUUCGUCUAAAUCAUUAAAAUUCUUUCAAAGAACGUUUUUCGAGUCUCCUGAUCUUCGGGAAGCACGUGGAAGAAAAUGAUCGAAAACCAUUGACGACGACGGUGAUAAGAAAAGGGGGAGUUUAAAAGGAGCGGACCUUCCAUACGCGGUGCAAACUACCGGGACGCAAUAAAAUAUUAAAAGAUAGGGUCCUCGUUCCGGACGGUCCUGCAUUCUGAAGCUGGUCCCAACACAGGUCCAAGAUAUUACGCCUGACUAUUUUGCACGUCCACGGUGCACCUUAUACGACCGUUUCUUGGAGUGGAUCAAAUUGAUAAUGCGCAUCGUUUAAUAGAGAAAUUUCACGACGUGUUAUCGUUCAAGAAUUUACUGAAAUUAAAUAUAACGUGAAUCUGAUGUGUAUCGAAUUUUCGAUCGGUGGAAAUAAAUUCCGGGAAUAUCUUCUCUCCGCAUUAUUAAUUACC